AGAUUGAACGCUGGCGGUAUGCUUAACACAUGCAAGUCGAACGGCAGCACAGGGUAGCUUGCUAUCCGGGUGGCGAGUGGCGGACGGGUGAGUAACGCGUAGGAAUCUACCUUUUCGUGGGGGAUAACCCGGGGGAAACUCGGGCUAAUACCGCAUACGCCCUACGGGGGAAAGCGGGGGACCUUCGGGCCUCGCGCGGAACGAUGAGCCUGCGUCCUAUCAGGUAGUUGGUGAGGUAAUGGCUCACCAAGCCGACGACGGGUAGCUGGUCUGAGAGGACGACCAGCCACACUGGGACUGAGACACGGCCCAGACUCCUACGGGAGCAGCAGUGGGGAAUAUUGGACAAUGGGGGAAACCCUGAUCCAGCAAUACCGCGUGUGUGAAGAAGGCCUUCGGUUGUAAGCACUUUAGCAGGAAAGAAAGAUUGUGCGUUAAUACCGCAUUGGUUUUGACGUUACUUGCAAGAAAAGCACCGGACUAACUCCGU
This 490-nucleotide ribosomal RNA is filed under the name uncultured soil bacterium. RNAcentral's name for it is "bacterial SSU rRNA". It matches the Rfam family "Bacterial small subunit ribosomal RNA", at positions 26 to 506 of the family's 1533-position model. The record is from RNAcentral.